RNAcentral lists this transfer RNA (72 nucleotides) under Camelus bactrianus (Bactrian camel). It matches the Rfam family "tRNA". From Rfam's summary of the family: Transfer RNA (tRNA) molecules are approximately 80 nucleotides in length. Their secondary structure includes four short double-helical elements and three loops (D, anti-codon, and T loops). Lineage: Eukaryota; Metazoa; Chordata; Mammalia; Artiodactyla; Camelidae. RNAcentral also lists the same sequence under 2 other names. The record is from Rfam by way of RNAcentral.
GAUGGUGUAGCUCAGUGGUAGAGCGCAUGCUUAGGAUGCACAAAGUCCUGGGUUCGCUUCUCAGUACCUCCA